RNAcentral lists this microRNA precursor (119 nucleotides) under Echinops telfairi (small Madagascar hedgehog). RNAcentral describes it as "miRNA (ENSETEG00000025734.1)". The record is from RNAcentral. Lineage: Eukaryota; Metazoa; Chordata; Mammalia; Afrosoricida; Tenrecidae.
AAGGCAAAAUUAGCUCAAGGAUUUUUUCCAUGAGCAAGAAAGCAAUGAACAUAACGACUUAUAAGAAGAAAGUUCAAAUCACAGAGUCCUAUAAGUGCAAAGUUAGAGAAUUUUGACAU